This is a long non-coding RNA of Trifolium pratense (red clover), 633 nucleotides long. RefSeq lists it as uncharacterized. Lineage: Eukaryota; Viridiplantae; Streptophyta; Magnoliopsida; Fabales; Fabaceae. The record is from RefSeq and is a predicted model, not a curated record. The transcript is spliced from 8 exons.
UGUAAAAGUAGGUGCCUGCAUGGCAUUUGCUCAACUUCUACCUAAAGCAAAGAAAGUAAUUGUCCAACCACAGUUAUUCGGUUUAUUUUCAUCCCUCACGGAUCUUCUUAAUCAUGCAUCAUAUGGUUUCCUUGCAUACGGUACUUGAAACGUUGCAAGAAGCCGUAAAUGCAGGUUAGGAAUAUCUUUCUCUGGUGAGAUGACACAUGCGAGUCUUCAACUGAAUCCUGAAAGAUAUACUGGUUACACCACUCCAUCUGCAAGAAGGAUAUGGGAUGUUGUCUACUCUGAGAACUGCCCCAAAUAUCUUUCGCAAGAAUCGUGUCAGGAGGAAAAGAUUUUGUAUAAAUUGAUAUCAGGUCUCCACUCCUCCAUAUCAGUACAUAUAGCUGCGAUUACCUAGUUGAAGAAGCUACAAAUAUGCGAGCAGUAACCAAAGCUGUAGAUUAUCUCGAGCAGGCUGAGUACACAUUUUUAGGAGUGAAAGAGAAGCAUAAUAAAGCUGCACCAGGUCGCUCAUAUGAUUCUCAUAUUAUUCAAGCAGAGUCUGAUGCACAAAAGAGGGAUGAAUAUAUUUAGCGUUUGAUGCAGCUCCCAAAUCAGAAAUGGAUGGAAAUUAUAGGUCAGGCACAU